UUUUAAAUGUUAUCCAUUUGUAUUAAUAAAAACUAGCGUAGUUGAUAAAAUAACCAGAAAGUGACACAUGAUGUGCCACAUUUAUCUUAUGCUGACAUAUAGAGAUCAAUUUUUAACCCUAGAAAUAGAUGUAAUUUUUAAUA
Gossypium hirsutum (cotton) is the source of this 143-nucleotide non-coding RNA. The record is from Rfam. NCBI's taxonomy places the organism in Eukaryota, Viridiplantae, Streptophyta, Magnoliopsida, Malvales, Malvaceae.